GGGGCUGGGGCUCAGUGGUAGAGCGCUCACCUAGCAAGUGGAAAACACUGGGUUCGAUCGUCAGCACCA
This 69-nucleotide transfer RNA is filed under the name Marmota monax (woodchuck). It matches the Rfam family "tRNA". Rfam says of the family: Transfer RNA (tRNA) molecules are approximately 80 nucleotides in length. Their secondary structure includes four short double-helical elements and three loops (D, anti-codon, and T loops). Further hydrogen bonds mediate the characteristic L-shaped molecular structure. tRNAs have two regions of fundamental functional importance: the anti-codon, which is responsible for specific mRNA codon recognition, and the 3' end, to which the tRNAs corresponding amino acid is attached (by aminoacyl-tRNA synthetases). tRNAs cope with the degeneracy of the genetic code in two manners: having more than one tRNA (with a specific anti-codon) for a particular amino acid; and 'wobble' base-pairing, i.e. permitting non-standard base-pairing at the 3rd anti-codon position. The record is from Rfam by way of RNAcentral. Lineage: Eukaryota; Metazoa; Chordata; Mammalia; Rodentia; Sciuridae.